Molecule: ribosomal RNA, 422 nt
Filed under: uncultured bacterium
Lineage: Bacteria
Description: bacterial SSU rRNA
Rfam family: Bacterial small subunit ribosomal RNA
Source: RNAcentral
UGAGGAAUAUUGGUCAAUGGGCGCAAGCCUGAACCAGCCAUCCCGCGUGAAGGAUGAAGGCCCUAUGUGUCGUAAACUUCUUUUAUACACCAAGAAAAAGCAGGACGUGUCCUGCCCCGACGGUAGUUUAUGAAUAAGCAUCGGCUAACUCCGUGCCAGCAGCCGCGGUAAUACGGAGGAUGCGAGCGUUAUCCGGAUUCAUUGGGUUUAAAGGGUGCGUAGGCGGCUUUGUAAGUCAGUGGUGAAAUCUUGCCGCUUAACGGUAAAAUUGCCAUUGAUACCGAUAAGCUUGAGUACAAGUGAGGUAAGCGGAAUGUGUAGUGUAGCAGUGAAAUGCGUAGAUAUGCGGAGGAACACCGAUGGCGAAGGCAAUCCCCUGGACCUGUACUGACGCUCAUGCACGAAAGCGUGGGGAGCAAACA